Stomoxys calcitrans (stable fly) is the source of this 380-nucleotide long non-coding RNA. RefSeq lists it as uncharacterized. The record is from RefSeq and is a predicted model, not a curated record. The transcript is spliced from 3 exons. NCBI's taxonomy places the organism in Eukaryota, Metazoa, Arthropoda, Insecta, Diptera, Muscidae.
ACUAUGAAAGAAUGUAAUAAACCAAAGGAAAAGUGAAGUGCAACUUAUUGAUCAUAGAUAUAUUUCGAAAUCUGCUAAAAUUCUUUGCAAUUUACAAAAAUAUAAUCGGCGUAAAACUCUGUCUGUGUUGGGCUGCGGUUUUCGCGUUUGUUGUUGUUUGUGUGUGUAUCCAAAAGGCAUGUUGUUGUGUUUUUGUGCAAUGAGAGAAGCAGUGAGAGCUUUGGAGAAAAAGUAAUAAUAGUGUUUUGUUGCAUUGCAUGUUUAAGAAAAUCUGUUAUACUUCAUCAAUCAGCACAAAUCAACAAAUUUGCAGACCGACAUUUUACAGGCAGCAACCAUGGCAAAUGAAUAUCUAAAGCAGCAGAUAAAUAUCUAUAUAG